UACGUAGGGUGCGAGCGUUGUCCGGAAUUAUUGGGCGUAAAGGGCUCGUAGGCGGUUUGUCGCGUCGGGAGUGAAAUCAUCUGGCUUAACUGGGUGCUUGCUUUCGAUACUGGCAGACUAGAGGUAUGCAGGGGAGAACGGAAUUCCUGGUGUAGCGGUGAAAUGCGCAGAUAUCAGGAGGAACACCGGUGGCGAAGGCGGUUCUCUGGGCAUGAUCUGACGCUGAGGAGCGAAAGUGUGGGGAGCGAACAGG
This 253-nucleotide ribosomal RNA is filed under the name uncultured bacterium. RNAcentral describes it as "partial 16S ribosomal RNA". It matches the Rfam family "Bacterial small subunit ribosomal RNA", at positions 524 to 776 of the family's 1533-position model. The record is from RNAcentral.